Long non-coding RNA from Grus americana (Whooping crane), 835 nucleotides. RefSeq lists it as uncharacterized. NCBI's taxonomy places the organism in Eukaryota, Metazoa, Chordata, Aves, Gruiformes, Gruidae. The transcript has 4 exons. The record is from RefSeq and is a predicted model, not a curated record.
GGCGGGUGCGGGCGGCUGCUCGAUGGGCUCCUUGUGGUGAGGGAACGGGGGUUGUCUGUGUCUCCCGAUCCCCCCUUUGGGCUGCUCUCCGUGCAGCCGUGUCCUGGCGGUUGGUUAUUGCAAAGGCAACAAAUAGAAGGGAUGAAUGGAUUCCCUGCAGGAUGUAUGUUCUCCAUGGGACAAAGCCAGAACUGCUGAACAAUUCUUGUAGAGCCUUUUCCUGGCAGCUCGUGGCUGUUCUUGGCAUCAGCAGUUUGAGUCUAGCCUUUGGAGCAUGGAAACCUGGAUUCCCAUCUGAGAGGCUCCACUAAGCAGUCCUCUAACAAGACAAAUUCCUGAUGCUGUGCCCUCAGCGCUACCUCGAGGUGGAGUUUCCUCUUGCGAAAUCAGCGGGUGCUGAAAACGUCUCUGGUGGCUGGGAAAGGCUUCGCUGGCAGUUUCAGAUGUACGUGUCACGAUCCUCAUCUUCCUCCUGCCCCAUCCCGACUGCUGGGAUGCUCACUGAUCUAGAAGAGCCGUGUGUGCAUCAAUUCACUCUGCUCUGUAACAUCAUGGACAGAAGGCACAAUUGUUUCUGCUGUGAUUCCAAAACCAACUGUCGAGAGAAGGCCUUUGGGAGAAGAGCAGCGAGCCAGACAGCAGGCUCCCUGGCAGCGCUGGAUGGAGUUCAAGGAAAACUGUUUGCCUCGCCACCCUCCUGUGAGUUAACAGUAGCUGGUGACUAACAGGGAAGAAACUUCCCUGUGGUGUAAACACAAAAAUGUUUGUAUUUGCCUUCCAGAUAGGUAUUAACGUUAUCUGAUUAGAGCACGUUCUGUUUCUUGAAUUGUAUCGC